GGUUCGUUAGUUCAGUGGUUAGAAUGGCGCCUUGUCACGGCGCAGACACGGGUUCGAUAUCCCGUACGAACCGCCA
Molecule: transfer RNA, 76 nt
Filed under: Pseudomonas sp. Leaf58
Lineage: Bacteria; Pseudomonadati; Pseudomonadota; Gammaproteobacteria; Pseudomonadales; Pseudomonadaceae
Description: tRNA-Asp
Rfam family: tRNA
About the family: Transfer RNA (tRNA) molecules are approximately 80 nucleotides in length.
Source: RNAcentral